RNAcentral lists this transfer RNA (73 nucleotides) under Cricetulus griseus (Chinese hamster). It matches the Rfam family "tRNA". Rfam says of the family: Transfer RNA (tRNA) molecules are approximately 80 nucleotides in length. The record is from Rfam by way of RNAcentral. Lineage: Eukaryota; Metazoa; Chordata; Mammalia; Rodentia; Cricetidae.
GGGAAUGUAGCUCACUUGAUAGAGUGCUCGUCUAGCAUAAGAGAAGCCCUGGGUUUGAUUCCCAGCAUUGGCU